Molecule: transfer RNA, 74 nt
Filed under: Alligator mississippiensis (American alligator)
Lineage: Eukaryota; Metazoa; Chordata; Crocodylia; Alligatoridae
Rfam family: tRNA
About the family: Transfer RNA (tRNA) molecules are approximately 80 nucleotides in length.
Source: Rfam by way of RNAcentral
GCCCUAGUGGUUUAGUGGAUAAAGCACUAGCCUCUUAAGCCAGGGAGUGUGGGUUCAAAGUCCCAUCUGGGGCG